AGGAAUAUUGGUCAAUGGCCGGAAGGCUGAACCAGCCAAGCCGCGUGAGGGAAGACGGCCCUACGGGUUGUAAACCUCUUUAGCCGGGGAACAAGGCGCGGGACGCGUCCCGCCGUGAGCGUACCCGGAGAAUAAGCAUCGGCUAACUCCGUGCCAGCAGCCGCGGUAAUACGGAGGAUGCGAUCGUUAUCCGGAUUUAUUGGGUUUAAAGGGUGCGUAGGCGGGCUUUUAAGUCAGCGGUAAAAAUUCGGGGCUCAACCCCGUCCGGCCGUUGAAACUGGGGGCCUUGAGUGGGCGAGAAGAAGGCGGAAUGCGUGGUGUAGCGGUGAAAUGCAUAGAUAUCACGCAGAACCCCGAUUGCGAAGGCAGCCUUCCGGCGCCCUACUGACGCUGAGGCACGAAAGUGCGGGGAUCGAACAGG
Molecule: ribosomal RNA, 421 nt
Filed under: uncultured bacterium
Lineage: Bacteria
Description: bacterial SSU rRNA
Rfam family: Bacterial small subunit ribosomal RNA
Source: RNAcentral